This 309-nucleotide long non-coding RNA is filed under the name Triticum aestivum (bread wheat). Its description in RNAcentral is "long non-coding RNA (TAES_LNC019358)". Lineage: Eukaryota; Viridiplantae; Streptophyta; Magnoliopsida; Poales; Poaceae. The record is from RNAcentral.
UCGACGAAUAAUCAUUUAUGCUAACAGACCAGUACUUGAUCAUAGGUAACAGACCAAUACUUGAUCAUAGGUAACAGACCAGUACUUGAUCAUAGGUAACAGACCAGUACUUGUUUAGUGCAGACAACUGACUAUUCUUUUUUUCUGAACUUUUUGUGAUAUGUCUGUUAUGUGGAUAUCAUAUUCUAAUGCUUUUCUAAGUAUUUAAGGUACAAACAUGUGGAUCUGGACAUUUCACAUUUGCUCUUUAUUGUGUUGCUAAGGACACUGAACGGUUUAUCUGGGCCACCGCACAGCCUGGCUAAUCAG